Molecule: long non-coding RNA, 3709 nt
Organism: Oreochromis aureus
Lineage: Eukaryota; Metazoa; Chordata; Actinopteri; Cichliformes; Cichlidae
Exons: 4
Source: RefSeq, a predicted model, not a curated record
AGUUGCUAUCUGUUGUGUAAGCUUUGCCGCGAUAGUUUUGUGUAGCAUUUCAGAGUUUGUGUGAGAAACUUUCUUUUGUGUGAAAAACGGCCGCGAUGCUAACACGUUAGCCCGUCCCGGAUUUCCCAUGUAAUGUUAGCAUUAACCUAAUCGCUAAAUGCCUGGGCCUAAUAACCAGUGAAGGGGUCUGGAUAUGUUUGUGUUUAUGUCUUAUGUACAUUGUAGUGCAUGGCUUUAUGUUUGAUAUUGUGAAGAAAAUGCAAUUACAGCAGAGAUGUAAUAUUUUAUUUUUGUUUCUGUACCUCAGUUUUACAGUGUUUCAACAGUAAACAUCUAAAACGUACCCGCUGACUCCUGGGCCCUUCCUCAAUUCUAAGUACGCAAGUACGUACUCGCGUUCUCGGCGAGACCGGACUUGCCGAGACCGCACGGGAGUACGGACUUGCCGAGAACGCGAGCACGGACUCGCGAUUUGUAUAAUUGGAACGCCAGCGUACUUGAUGAUGUCACAGGUCCGGAGUUUUUACUGCCGUCCCCUCUUAAUUUAACUCCACUGAGGCGGUCAGCUCUCUGAGCACAGCAUGGAUGUCCUGUGAAAAGGCUUGUUGGUUUGAAAUCUGCUGGUCAAGAAUUUCAUUAUCUGCCUCUGUCUGAUUGGUGGAAACAGAGCAGACCAGAAGCAACAGCGAGAAAAACACCAUGAUCUCCAUUCUUUCUCAGCAGUACUGAUGUUAUGAACAUCCUUCAAACUGUCACAGAUGUAUCAUCAAGGACAGCAGCUUUACAAACUGCACAUCUUUAUUUAGACGACUUCUCUCUUUUUGAUCUCUGAGCUGACUUCAACAUAACUUCAUCUAAACCAUCAACAUGUCUGUUAGAACCCAUCCCUGCAACACUGCUCACAGAUGUGUUACCUUCACUUUCACAUUAAAUCAGCUGAGCAGCUCUCCAUCAGACACAAGUCUGUCCCCAUCCUCCAGCUCUGAUGCAUUUCUGUUUGGUGGUUCUAUCCUGCUGAGCAUCGAGGUGCAGGACGUCCACAGAAGCACAGAGGGAGCAGCCACACAGCUGUCCAAGAAGGCAAGCUGCAUGUAGCUCCAAAACUUUAUCAACAGGCAUCACCUCUCAGACACCUACUGACAUUUAGACACGUGUGCAUGUUGAUGAGGACGAUGCUGACGAUGUUCACAGAGUGUUGCAGGAUGCAGAGCCCACGGUGCAGCUUAGGACUGGAUAAAUGAUCACAUGUUAACCUCAGUUAUGAUUGUUGACUUCCAUCACUCAUGAACACAAGAUCAUUGGAAUAAAAUGAUUCUUUUUGCAUUAACAGUCAUUAUGAAAUUCUUAUAAAUCAAGUACACCUCUUUCCUUUGUAGAAGUUUAAAACACUCACAGUUUAGUUCAGCUCAAGCCAAGAUCUCAGAAAGAAGCUUUGAAAAGCUCAACACUAUUGUGUUUCUCUCUUGCAUUUUGUCAUCUAUAUGUCAUUGGGUGGAAGUAAAUUUAAUGUUUUAUUCUGUUGUAUUAGUUUGUUUUGAUAGUUUACAUGGUUCUAUAUUUAUUGUUUGCAUGCUUUUAUUUUGAAAGGUUCAUAUUAUUUCCUAUCCACAUCUUCCCAUCUUCACCAUCUGCUCAGUCACCUGUUAUAAAAGAUGAAAGUCAUCACAGUGAAGCAGAGCGGACACACAGCAGGGUCACAGCAGAGCGAGCAGCAAAAUGGUCGUCAUGGAAACCUGGGACUGUCCACGGAGUUCAGUCUGUGAAGCUGAUGUCAGUGGACGAGGAGCUGGACCCAGAAAAAUAAGAGACUCAACUUGUGAAAGAGUGAUUGCUUAAGAGAUGAUCUGUGUUACGACUGUUGCACCCGUGCACAUCAUCACAUCAGAGUUUGAUCUUGUGUCAACCUCCUGUUCAUCACAGAGUUCACAUUAUGAGCUACAGGGAUGGAAACUAACAUCUCAGCAGAGGACUGCAAACCAGCUUGUGCUGUACCUCAGAUGGUGAAUACAGAUACUAAUAAACCAGAAUAUUGACACAAUUCUACAUUAUUGCCAAGCGUGUUUACAAACAAACACAAACAUUUGAAAUUCACCAUCUCAUCUACAGCAGUGAUCUACUGUUUACUAUGUGAGAGAGAAACAGUCCAUUUCAUCUUCAGCUACAUGAUAACAAGCUUUUAUUGUGUUGAACCAUUUCUUAGAUCUUAAAGUGAAGCUGAUUACACUCAGUCACUGAAGCAAACCUCUCACUGUACUUUAUAUAAAAUCUGGAUGACAGUGCAGAACAACAGUUUGUAACAUGUAGAAAAUGCUCUGAUAGUUUUCAUUUGUACCUCGACCCAGAUUGUUAAAACAACCCCACCCUAACCUUGCAAUGCUCAAUUAAUAAAACAUCAAAGUUUUAUUAAUCUUCAAUGUCCAUUAAGAUAAAUGAAUCCAGCUUAUAGGAAAAAGUCCUUCUGACUGAUCCUUCUUUAAGGGGUUUAGACUCAUAGCAGGUCUAUUUCAUGGACCAUUUUAACAACACAGUUAUCAGGCUGUCACUGCUUCCUGUGAACACUUUAAACUUUGGACUUAAAUGGCACAAUUAGCCUUGGGCAAAAAGUCAUAGUCCAGUUUUGUGAGUACAGAAAACACGUGCAUGAUAUUUGUUUGUGAAGGAGUGAUGGGAACUGAUGACACUGUAUUUCCUCAUACUUCUGGAGCUUUGACAAACUGACUGAUGUUUGUUGUUGUAGAUCUGCAGCAUCCUGAUACAGGAAGUCUGGUUCGGCUCUCUGAUAAAAAGAAAAGUCCUCCUCUCUGGUCCUCUGAGUCUGACAGUAGAUAACACAGAGGUCACAGGGAGUUCAUGUGGAUGCUUUAAUGUCCAAGUGUCUUUCCUGCUCGCCCUGAUGUGAAAACGCCAGAGUAGCCCUGCAGGUCAAAUCUGAUCAGUCACACCUGUUAUGGCUAAAUUUAAGAACGCUGUCCAUUUCAUUAAAAGUAAUGAGCGGAUAAUGAGGGUAAAUUCUAUAGCAACAAAGUUUCGGCACAAUAAGGUGUAUGAGUUUGGGAAGAAAUAAAGUUUACUAACAGUAGUAAGGUGUUAUUGCCAUCAGCUAUUGAUGGGGUUAUUGGCAAUAAGAAUGUUGCCGAAUUAUGGAGAAAAUAUUACAGAAAAAAAUCUUAACUGUGUAAAGAGUGAAAGAUUGAGUUUAUCUGAUAUUAGUUUCAAUAAUGGCUAUUCAACCUGAAAAAGUACAACCUGCCAUUAAGAGGAUGCCUCCAAGCUGGUGGUUUAGACCCAUUAUCAGCAGCUGUCAAGUUAAAUGAAUGUAAAACUGGGUGUAUGCUGGGUAAUCUUCUUGUUUAUCAUUUAAUGUACACUGAGGAUGUGGUCAUUUUGUCUUACAGUGCUGGUUUGCAGCAGAUACUUGGAGUUUGUGCUAGUUAUGGUGCCCACUAUGAUUUUGCUUUUAACCCUAAAAAGAGUUUUACUGUGAUCGCUACAACUGAGGAGGAAUUUUCCUUAAACUUCCAAGACGGACAUCUGCAAGUCAAAUGUUUUUUCAGGAGUAACGUCCCAACUUUUCAUGACUUACUAAAGAACUAAGUACGAAUUUAUGUGCCGUUUGAAUAACUUGAGAUGUUCAACAGUAAAAGCUUUGCCAGUUCUAACACAUGGUGGCACAAAGUAUGUGUCAAGUUUUUAUAAACUUUGGAAUAAG